UCCCCAAUAGCUCAGUUGGUAGAGCUAUGGACUGUACUCUCUUAAUAAAAGCAUGUGUCGCUGACUGGCUUUUCAAGCCCAGUUUGGGGAGCCA
This 94-nucleotide transfer RNA is filed under the name Colwellia sp. RSH04. RNAcentral describes it as "tRNA-OTHER". The record is from RNAcentral. Lineage: Bacteria; Pseudomonadati; Pseudomonadota; Gammaproteobacteria; Alteromonadales; Colwelliaceae.